This 3481-nucleotide ribosomal RNA is filed under the name Triticum aestivum (bread wheat). Its description in RNAcentral is "partial small subunit ribosomal RNA". The record is from RNAcentral. Lineage: Eukaryota; Viridiplantae; Streptophyta; Magnoliopsida; Poales; Poaceae.
UGGAGAGCGUGUAUCGCAGGUAAUAAACAAGAGAGGAGGGGUCGAUCCCAAGUGCUGCGGCGGCGGCAGGCGCGAGCACGAGAGAGAGAAGUAGAGGGUAGGGCUCGACCUGGAGGAGGUUGGUGUAGAGGGGACUAGAAGAGCUAGCUAAACCUAGAGUCCUCGCUUGGCCUCCUUCCGGUCCACGGGCAACGGCUCUGUCCCCGCUACUCUUCACCCAGCGGCGGCGGCGGCGGUAGGGCCGAGUUUCGCCGCUGGGUUCCUCCUCGAGGCCUGAGUGUCCUCCUCGAGUUCGUCGCCGCCACCAGGUGUUGCGGUAGUACCAGAAGGAGACGUCCUCGUCGCGCUCGGUAUCUCUGCAGGACGGGGUCGCAGCGGCGGGCAGGUGGGCUGCUUGCUCUCUCCGUAGUUCCCCCUCUACGUGCCGUCUCUACGUGUGCGAGAAGGGACACCCUACUGCCACCACAAGGAAGGAGGUUGUUUUAAGGUCGGGGAACUAUGUAUCAGUCUAAGUCGGGGUGUGGUCGCUCACGAAUACCGCUGCUGCUACUGUUUCGUUCGACUGACGAUAAAGGCCUCAUAAUGACCUACUACGAAACAUGUCGUCGUUGUGUGUGCAUGUGUUGUCGGAGACGACUAGCUAAGACACCGGCCGGUUUUUUGCGACACGUCCGGUUGUUUUAGUUAACCUGACGGUGUCCCUAACCCAGCUCGGCCGCUGGUUCGUCCCUCUAAGGUUAGUAGACUUAAAAACUACCUCAGGUAACCUACCUAGUUACCUUCUUCUCCAUCUUUUCGCGGAUCAUUAACUAUGACCAUCAAGGAACCACUUGAACGGUAGUUACCGAAAGAAGAAGCUAUUUACAUUCGGUAACCUCCUUCCUCUGCUUCUCCGACCCUCAAUUAAAGGUCGCUUAAUUAGACCCCUAAACUAAACGACCACCCGUGACUCCUUGUCAAUUAAAGGUCGCUUAAUAAGACCUCUUAAGCUACGCAGACCAUUAGACGAAGCUCUCAAGAGGAAACCCGAUACUUUUUCUCUGAUCAUCAAACCAACACCCGGAGCCACCCAUCACCAAUGUGUCAAUCGACGGUCAUCAUGAUAAAGAAAGAGAAAUUUAGAGUGCCAAGUAAAUAAACAUAAGGGGGGCGAGUUGAAAAAAUAGAUCAGGAGAGUAAUUAUGUACGAAUCUGUUUAAUCUCCGGGGUUUUUAAAACCCCGGGACACGUCGACGAGGCCAACGUGUACGUCUCUAUGCCGGGACGAACCGUAGUUCUGUUAAAUUCAUAUAAGUUAUUACGUCCCCUACAAUUUAGAUGACAAUAAACACUUAUCAUGAGAAAAAAAACGAUACCAAGGUAAACACCAAAGAGUACAUCGUUACAGUACCAAGCAAUUUAGAAAGUGUGUGUUACUUUACAAAUCCUUUGAGCUAGGUCAUUUCACCUCACAAUUAAAUAGAUUUAUGCAAAUCAUUCAAGUAGUACAUCGUUUAAAACGGUAUUUUAAACAGUACUUUCAUAUGAAAUAGCCGUGAUAAAAGGAUAUAUAUAAUAAAGACACGAUCUGUAAAAAGUCGAUUGAUCUUUUUUUUAUGUAGUGGACUUUUCUGAUGCAUGCAUUGAGUUAUCAAUUAGGUCACGGUGUACAUCUUCAUCUGACCAAUGUCUUAGAAAGGUUGUUAGACCGUUCAUGACGUAUAUAGAUUGAACAAUGUCUUACGUUUACUGCCUUCUUGAGACUGUUCACGUGGAACUAGGAAUGACUUCCUCUAAGUUGUUUCCGAAACCGAUACCGCCUACCCUAGUGAUACCACACAAAGGAGAGUCCCCAUUUAAAUUUAAUUUACACUCUCUUCGUUCGGUAUUCGUCAAUUACCCCUUACGUCUCUAGGUUUUAUACUUCUUUUAUAAUCCAGACGUUGUACUUUUCUUCAUACUAUCGUGCUUUCCGAACUCUAUACUGGUGGAAUACUAUUACUGUCUAAUCCAAACGGGCUGUUGAAAAAGUCCUGUUACGUACUCUAUCGUAAACGUAGAUGAUUAUUCGGUUUCGAUGAAUCGGUCCUUUCGUACUAGCGAACCUGUAGUAUUCGUUAAACACUACGGCUCCUAGAACAUCUCCUAAAUCCUUUCACUUAAGGUUGUAAUAACUUCGUUUUAACCACUUCAACUUACUCCUAACCUCUACCGCACAUUGGAUGAAUGUGUAUCUACCUCUGAGCCCUACCGACUAGAUGUGUCCGCACCCGUGGUACAAAUAAUGAGAAACAAUGGGUUGUAUUAAAGGCAAAUAUUUAAAUCGAUCGCCGGCACGUGUAGAACUCCACAGGCAGUUGAGGUUUGUGUUCGGGGUAAGGGGACAUACUGAUUUAAGUCCAUAAGCACUCCACUUAUUCUAUAUAUUACAAUUUUGGACAUCAAAACAAUAGUUACCAAAACGUAACACAGAACGACGUUUACUUAAUUAACAAAAAACGUACAGAUUAAAAAUGCUACACAACUCCGGAAGUAUUACAAUUAAAACUUAAAUUCUUGACACGAGAAUUCUAUACAGGAAAUUGGUAAACAAAAGAAGAAAACGGCUAAAGUUCUUUAUCAAGGAAAUUUACAACCUUUACAAGAACCAUGAUUUCUGUUACAACGUCGUUUCUUCACCCAUAGUGAAUAACUACUGGUCCACUACUUAUAUAACCAUCCCUAUGUACAUUACCUGGUAUAAAAAGUGGUAAGGGUAUACCGAUACCUGAACUUGUGGAUACCUUCUUCUUCUACACAUCGGUUUAUGAAGAUCCAUAAUAGACAACCGUACAAGGUACUUUUAAGUGUAUACGUUUACAAAGACGAGUCAUCAGGAUCCGCGUACAAACUAGAAACGACCAGUUGAAAACAAUUAUAUCUGAGACUAACAAGACAUUUCUAUACGGAAGGUAUGGAGUAUUGAUGAAGUGAGAGAAGAUCCUCAUGAUAUAUAUACGUACACUAUAAGUGAUAUGGAAAAGAGUAACGGGUAAUGAAGUGCACGUUAUAUUGUAUACAUUCAGUAGAUAGAUGACUAAGACAAUAUAUUUCGAAAGGAAGAACGAGAUGAAUAAUAUCAUACAUGAAGGACAGUACUAACGUCAUACAUCGUCGGUUCCACUAUACGUGCUCGGUUCCACUAUGACUCCUUGAAGAAUCAAGUAUGGCUAAUGUACUCAUAUCUCCUGUUCAAACAAUUUACAAGUACAAAACAAUAACGGUCACUCAACUAUACGUACACAAGACUACUAGGUUGUUUGUGACGGAGAAAACCACUAGUGGGUGGAAAACCUCGUACAACUUGAAACUAAAGUUAGGUACAGGCACAGAAAUACUAGUCAGUAACUGUAACACUCUGACAGUGGAGACACAAUUAUAUCUCGAUAAUAAUCGAAUGAGACGAAAUACUAACUUCUGACGACGAUGAUAAGAUAAGGCACAUAAGAAAAAUAAAUUGUUU